This 465-nucleotide ribosomal RNA is filed under the name Vreelandella stevensii. Its description in RNAcentral is "partial 16S ribosomal RNA". It matches the Rfam family "Bacterial small subunit ribosomal RNA", at positions 338 to 795 of the family's 1533-position model. The record is from RNAcentral. Lineage: Bacteria; Pseudomonadati; Pseudomonadota; Gammaproteobacteria; Oceanospirillales; Halomonadaceae.
CCUACGGGUGGCAGCAGUGGGGAAUAUUGGACAAUGGGGGGAGCCCUGAUCCAGCCAUGCCGCGUGUGUGAAGAAGGCCCUCGGGUUGUAAAGCACUUUCAGUGAGGAAGAACGCCUGGUGGUUAAUACCCAUCAGGAAAGACAUCACUCACAGAAGAAGCACCGGCUAACUCCGUGCCAGCAGCCGCGGUAAUACGGAGGGUGCGAGCGUUAAUCGGAAUUACUGGGCGUAAAGCGCGCGUAGGUGGCUUGAUAAGCCGGUUGUGAAAGCCCCGGGCUCAACCUGGGAACGGCAUCCGGAACUGUCAAGCUAGAGUGCAGGAGAGGAAGGUAGAAUUCCCGGUGUAGCGGUGAAAUGCGUAGAGAUCGGGAGGAAUACCAGUGGCGAAGGCGGCCUUCUGGACUGACACUGACACUGAGGUGCGAAAGCGUGGGUAGCAAACAGGAUUAGAUACCCCUGUAGUC